CCUACGGGUGACAGCAGUGGGGAAUAUUGCACAAUGGGGGAAACCCUGAUGCAGCGACGCCGCGUGAGUGAAGAAGUAAUUCGUUACGUAAAGCUCUAUCAGCAGGGAAGAAAUACUGACCUGACGGUCAGAAGACGGUACCUGAGUAAUAAGCCCCGGCUGACUACGGGCCAGAAGCCGCGGUAAUACGUAGGGGGUACGCGUUAUCCGGAUUUACUGGGUGUAAAGGGAGCGUAGAAGGUGCGAGAAGUCUGGUGUGAAAGGCCGCAGCGCAACUGCGGAACUGCUUUGGAAACUGGCGAACUAGAGUGCGGAAGGGGCAGGCGGAAUUCCUAGUGUAGCGGUGAAAUGCGUAGAUAUUAGGAGGAACACCGGUGGCGAAGGCGGCGUACUGGACCGUAACUGACGUUGAGGCUCGAAAGCGUGGGGAGCAAACAGGAUUAGAUACCCCGGUAGUC
This 458-nucleotide ribosomal RNA is filed under the name uncultured bacterium. Its description in RNAcentral is "partial 16S ribosomal RNA". It matches the Rfam family "Bacterial small subunit ribosomal RNA", at positions 338 to 795 of the family's 1533-position model. The record is from RNAcentral.